This is a small nucleolar RNA of Arachis stenosperma, 109 nucleotides long. The record is from RefSeq and is a predicted model, not a curated record. Lineage: Eukaryota; Viridiplantae; Streptophyta; Magnoliopsida; Fabales; Fabaceae.
AAAUCAUGUUAGGAGGGCACCCUCUGAUUAGUUGAUUGUACCUAUUACAUGCUUCAUAGAGGGAUUCACCAUCUUUCUGUUUGAAGGUCUGAACUUCUAUCCUAAGCUU